Molecule: long non-coding RNA, 32060 nt
Filed under: Populus trichocarpa (black cottonwood)
Lineage: Eukaryota; Viridiplantae; Streptophyta; Magnoliopsida; Malpighiales; Salicaceae
Description: long non-coding RNA (PTRI_LNC003993)
Rfam family: MIR2912 microRNA precursor family (bases 10525-10673)
Source: RNAcentral
UACAUUUACCUUUUUUCACAUUUAGUUUGCCUUAAUGUCCCUUGCAACAAAAUGACGAAUCCACUGGGAUCUUGUUAAGGGCUAAGGUUUAUUUGUUUAUUUUCUAAUGAUAAUGUGCUUGAUGAGCUUUAAUAUAUGCUUUGAAUGUUUGUUUACCUAAACUGAUUAAUGUGUGGUUAUUGUUUGGUAUCGUUUCAUGUUUAUUUUAAAUUUUUUAAAUUGUUUCUUGUAUGCCUAAAUUUAAUGCAUUGUUCCUUUAAAUUGGUUUGUUUAGAUUGGAUAUGGAGUUGUGCCAAUGCACACACAACUCAACACUUAUAUUUUGCACAAACAUUGCUUGAGGUUAGGAUGAGGAAGUGGUGAUGCCUCAAUGGUCUUUGACCUGGGAAACACUCAUUAAACAACCAAAAAUCUUAUGGAUAGUCUACUUGGUUGUGAUGAGUAUCCAAUGUGAUAUUGUCCCGAUCUAUAUUUUUUACAGCCUCGAUUCAGUUCAUUGAGAUUGUUAACUAAACAAUGGGGGACCUUUAGAAACCGAUUUAGUUAGUUAACCUACCCAUCUAGAACAUGAUGUUUCCCUAUGUUAUCAUUACUUCACCUAAUCGAUCAUUUUUUUUAUUUUUAUGAAUAUUUGUAUAUACAAAAGUUAGUUUUGAGUUCUUAUAAAAAAAAUGGGGAAAGAAAUACAAGUUGUAUUUUGAAAGCUCAAUUUCCCUAUAGUAUGUUAUUUUCCUUUCUAAAAACCAAGUACCUUAAGCACCUCUACCCGUUUUUCAACCUAGAUAUCAUGCUUUUUAAAACAUAGAAAUUCUAAACCAUAAAAAGAAGCCCUAUGAACCAUCUGCUUUUCCAGUUUCCCUCAUUAACAUCUAUCAACAUCUUGUGAAUAUGCACCAGAUAUAUCCUCAAUGGUUCAAACUCGUUCAACCAUAUUUUCUUAAAUGGUAUAACAAUAGUGUUAAGUAUGAGUACCAUGCAGGAGCUGUUGGUCAUUCCAUUGACCACUAUCAAGGUUUCAGGAAGCAAAUCGACAAGUUAAUUCAACAUAGCUGAUUAUCAUUUCAAGAGAAAAUGGUGUACUCAUUAUAGCUAUAAAGAAGCGCAAGGCCAAUGAAAUAUGCCAUGUGCCAAAUGUUGGCCUUUCUAGAAUAUUUAAAGUUCUCAAGUUUGUUAAGUAUAUAGGAGCUCAAUAUCUAGAGACCCACCUCAAAGUGUACUAUCGUAAAAUGGCUAAAUUUAUUAAUGAUGAGAAACUUUUGAUCAAUUAUUUAUAUUUAAGUCUGGUUGGACCUGCUCUUAACUGGUCUAUAAGGUUGAAUGACUCUAAAAUAAUGAAAAUUAAUCCAUGUGCCAAAUAUUGUUUUUUUUUUUAAAUUAAGUUCUCAAGUUUGUCAAGUAUAUAAGAGCAAUGUCCAGAUACCCAUCUUAAAGUGCAUUACAGUAAAAUGGUUGAAGUUAUUCAUGAUGAGAAACUUUUGAUCAAUUAUUCUGGUGCAAGUUUGAUUAGACUUGCUUUUAGUUGGUCUAUGGGGAUAGAUGACUCUAAAAUAAAGAAAUGAGAAUAUUUGGCUAACAUCUUUUUGAAAUAUUUUGGUAUUAACUUGAAGGUGACUCCAACUAGGUCUAGCUUUCAAAGAACUUUGGAAAAUUAAAGACAACAUCAAUAAUAAAACACGAGGUAUAAUUUGAAAAAUUAUGAUCGUAGUGAGAUUAAUCAUUAAUAUGACCAAAUCAAUGUGACAAACUUAUAAGAUCUCCACAUAUAAUUAAUGAUCAUAUAUUUUUGAACCCUUAAAUACCUUUUGAGCCUUAUAGAUAUCUUAUUCUUUUACAAACACAAGCUUCAACCUACAUUACAUGCUUAUAAAAGCCUUUUAUGAUUAAAAAAAAAAUAAUUUGAUUUUGUUGAUAAGUUUUAGCCUCCAAAAAGAAGAAAAAUGUUUUUCAAGCAAAAUCAUGAAUUAAGCAAAAUCAUGAAUUGUUUAUGUGUUGCAUAUCAUUCUUAUGAAAUUAAAUCAUGAGUUUUCACCAAUAAAUAGGCAAGAUCAAUACAACGUGAAGCAAGAUACCUUUUGAUAAGAUAAAAAAUCUCUUUAAAACCAACCCUUCUUUAUAAAAUAACCCUUAAUUUAUUACUAAAGAAUCAAUUUGAGCUAUUCAUAUUUCAAAACAUAGCCAAAUUUUUCGGAUAACCAUUUUUUUCAUAAUCUCAACCAACACCCAUUUCUUUAUAUACCUAGCAAAAAAAUAUAAAAUUGUCUCAUAGCAUUUGAAUGACAUGUUUAGGGUUUACAAACAAAGAAAUAAAUGUCCAUUUGAUUAAAUAUUUUCAAAUUUAUAACUCAAUGCUUUUAAAAUCAAUCCUGAGACAUAUAUAUGAAUGUAAUCAUUAAAGUUUAUGGCCUACUCCUGAAACAUAAAAGAUGAUUUCUUGAAAGAAAAAAAGAAGAAUUCUCAUUGAUUGGGUUUGCAAAGUUCUGUGAUGAUGAUGAUGAUUAUGAUGGUGCAUACAUGCUUUUGACAACCGUUGGAAAGAUGAUAAGAUCUAGAUUAGUCGGGGGCAAUUCUAUUUAAAGAAACAUUUUGCAAUGACAAUAGUCAAAUAAUGACAUGAAGAAUUUCAUAAUAAACCUUGAGUGGUAGAGGAAACAACUUUAUCAUGAUGGUGAUGAAAAAUAAGCAAUAAUGAACAAGUACCCUAGAUUAAACUUGGAGAUGAUGAUAAAUAGAACCAAUAUGGGAUAAGAUGAUGGAUGAAACAUGUCUAUCUAAUAAUCAAAAGUGGGUAAGAUGAGAAGACAAACCAGUAAUGAGCAUUGAAGACAUUUAAACAAUUCAAGUAAGCCAGUGACUGAUUGAAGACACUUCUAAAGCCAAAGAUUUUUUAAGAUACAGAUUAUGUAAAAACAAAAUAUUGAGCUUUCUACAAUUUGUGUUUUCCCAUUAAUUUCAAGAAUUUUUUUUUUACAUAAGAUCAGAAUAGCUUGUUAGUACAAGAUUGAUAUUAAAAAGAAAAAAAAAACAAUAGGAAAAUAACAAGAGCAAGUUAAGCUAUGCAAUCUGGACAUUUUCACCAAAUCAUGUGGCCAUGUAAGUCAAACCAAGCUCUACAAUAAUGAUUUUUUUUUUAUUUAUUUCAAAGUGAAACCCAUUAAUUUAAUGAAAAUUUUAUUUCAAAUAAAACACACCAAAUGACAAAUUUUCUUUCAAAUCUUUUUUUUUCCAAGUGAAGCCCAUUAACCCGAUGAAACUUUUCUCUCAAACAAAGCCUAUUAAUCCUAUGACAUUUUUAUUUCAAAAUGAAACUCAUUAAUCCAAUUGCACUUUCUUUCAAUCAAAACCCAUUGAUCCAAUGACAUUUUUAUUUCAAAGUGAAGCUAAUUAAUCUAAUGACACUUUAAUUUCAAACAAAACUCAUCAAUCUAAUGACAAUUUUUCAUUCAAUCAAAGCCUAUUAAUCAAAUGACAUUUUUAUUUUAAAAUGAAACUCAUUAAUCAAAUGACACUUUUAUUUUAGACAAAGCCCAUCAAUUCGAUGAAAAAUUUUCUUUCUAGUGGUUUUUUUUUCAAAGCAAAUCCGAUGGGAAAUUUUCUUUCAAAAGACAUUUUUAUUUCAAAAUGAAGCUCAUAAAUUCAAUGACAAAUUUUCUUUCAAAUGAUUUCAAGUAAAGCCCACCAACCUGAUUGCAAAUUUCUUUUAAAUAGCAUUUUUGUUUAAGCAUUAAUUCUUUUAUUUUGUUUACAAACUUAUUAUACAAAGUCAAAGAAAAAUAAUUUUUUUCUUGUCUUUGUACCGUAAGUAUUGUAAAGAGGGAGCAACUAUCAUAAAUCGAUUUUGACCCCUAUUUUGAUCAUAUUUUCAAAAUAAAUUUCUAAUAUAUAAAUAUUUCCAAAAAAAUAUAUUUUCGACAUGAUUUGGCCAAUGUUAGGCUAUUUCAUAAAUUUUUCAACCUUCAUGCUUGUCAUAUGCAUAUUGAUGAUUUUUUUUAUAUAUAAAAAAACUUGCAUUCGUAUGUGAGUGAGACUUGUUUAGGAUCAACAUUAUAUUUUUGGAUUCAUUAUUAUGUUGAACAUUGCAUGCUUUAAUUUGGGAUAGAUAAUAUCUUAUAAAGCAAGAUAUAGCAUACUUUUUUUCUUUAAGAUUAUUGAAGUACAUCUUUCCUUGUAAAAGUUGUAUGAGUUGUGUGAUUAUGCAUAAAAGACGAGUGUGAUGCUUUACUUGUGAUCAUCCCUUUUGAUCUAGUUCUAAACAUGGUUUAAGUAAAUAGAGUAAUAAUUAUUAGACAAUUAAAUAAAUAAAUGUGUACAAAGUUCUAUCUACAUCAAUGUUUUGAGUUGCUUAGUAACUAGGGGUAUUCAUCACAAAUGUUUAUCUUUACGUCAAACAGGAGCAUGAAAUAUGAGUAUGCAAAAGCACUUUAAGUUUGUGACUUUGUGAGUAACCAGGUGCAUUCAUCACAAAUGUUUGUGUUCGCGUCAAAAGGGAAGUGACCACUUAAAAACAUAAUAAAUAAUAUCUCCAAAAAAAAAGAAAGAAUAUAUAUAUAUAUAUAUAUAUAUAUAUAUAUAUAUAUAUAUAUAGUUUGCUACCUUGUUUGUAGUUGUGGGAAGGGAAGAUUACAAGUUGAGUUUUCGCGUGAAUCAAUUAUGUUGGUUGCAUGAUAAAUACGAUUGAAUUUGGAAUUUUGUAUGGAUAUUUGAUUUAGAGAAUGUGAGUAUGUUUAUUUUUCUUUAUUCGCUAUUGUGUAUACACUAAGUUGAAGAUACCAAUGUUUGCAUGAUAGGUCCUUCAAGUGUGAUGAGCCGAGCCUAAUUAUGGUUAUUAUUAUUCUUUUUAUUUCAAAUUUGCCUUAAAAAUCAAUUCUAUUCCAAUCCUAGAAAAGAUUAUCAUAUGAUCUAUUUCAAGCCCAAACUUGCCUUAUGUUGUGUGCAAACUUCAAUCAUCAAACACUCAAGGUUUCAAUAUCAAUCUCAGCCCAAAUAAUAGGUACAUUUGUAUCCUUAUAUGAUGCUUAAAUUCAGCCCCAAAUCAGCCCAAGCACAAUCCAUAAUCUUACAUGUCUACACAACAAAUAACAUUUGAUUUAUUUUGGGUAAUCCAUUGAUCCAAAAGGGUAAGCACAUGGAUUGAAAGCUAGAGGGGACAUUGUUACAAUAUUUUGGGUCAAAAAUAAGAAAGAGACAGCUCAUAAAAGAGGAAGAAAAACAUGCACCAAAGUGUUCUCCAAGCUGGCCUGAUUUGAUUUUCCAGAACACCUUUUGGUGUUGUGCCCAUAACUUUUGACUCAGAUGUCCAAAUUCUCUGUUAUUUAAUUAUCUCGAAAGCUGACAGACUAGCCUAUAAAUUUGUUUCUAAUAGACAUCUCCAUAGGAGGCUUCUAAGAGAGUCUAAUUUCUCCAAUAAAGCAUGAAAUUGUAGGAUAAUCAAGGUCUUUAUAUUUCAAAACAUUAUUGUUUUGAAGAAUGACACUUACUUGUUCGGCUAAAAAGGCUUUCUUUUUUACAUUCAGUUUUCUCUUCACGGUGCACAAGUCUUUCAUAAAUUUAGCAUAAUAAGGUACCUGUUUAAUAGCAUCCAACAAAGGUAUAUUGAUCCUUACCUGUUUGAAAGUUUCAAAGAUUUUUGAAUUGUGAUUGACUUUCCUUUGUUUGGUCAUGGCAUGAGAAAAUGGAAGUACUGGUGGGGAAUCAGUCUUUCUUUUUUUUGCAAUGUUCAGGUUCAACCCUUUCCUUACCCUCAAAGAGUAACUCAUCAUCUUUCUCACAAGGUUCAAGAAUAGGUUUUUCAAUAACUUUACCACUACGGACAGUAAUGACUGAUUUGACUUGAUCCAUGUGUUGGCUUCCAGAGCUACUCGCUCUUAAAUUGUAUUGCCCUUUGGGAUUUUGCUGAGGUUGAGAUGGAAACUUACCUUUCUCUUGAAAACUGAGAGUAGAUGUGAACUUUGUCAGAGUAUCUUUCAAAUCUGCCAUAGUUUGAGCAUUUUGAGUGUUGAUUGUCUCUUGCUUUUCAAUGAAUGCAUGCAAUAUUUCCUCAAGAUUUCAUCUAGGAGGGCGAAUACAAGGAGGUGCAUAUCCAUGAGAAUUUUGAAAAUUAUGGUGUGCUUGAAAUGGUGGCUGUGAAGUUUGUGCAUUAUUGUUACCAUUAUUCCAACUGAAAUUUAGGUGAUUUCUCCAACCAGGAUUAUAUGUUUAUGAGUAUGGAUUCUAAUUUGGCCUUUGGAAACUGUUUAAAGCAUUGCCUUGUUCAUGGAGACAUUCCUUGAAAGAAGGCAAAGUUGGACAAUCAUUGGUUGAGUGUUCAUUAGUUUCACAGAUUUGACAUACAAUUUCUUGAACAGAUUUCAAUUGACCACUCCUUUUCAAUUCUAGUGCCUUGACUUUUCUAGCUAAAGAUGCAAAUUUGGCUUGGAGGUCAUGAUCUUCUCUAAGGUUAUACAUACCUCCACUAGAUGUAUGAGGUUGAGAUUUACCUGGUGUCUCACAAGUACCUGUAGUGUCCUAAUUUUGAGCAUUUUCAGCUAUGGAUUCUAAUUUGGCCUUUGGAAACUGUUUAAAGCAUUGGCUUGUUCAUGGAGACAUUCCUUGAAAGAAGGCAAAGUUGGACAAUCAUUGGUUGAGUGUUCAUUAGUUUCACAGAUUUGACAUACAAUUUCUUGAACAGAUUUCAAUUGACCACUCCUUUUCAAUUCUAGUGCCUCGACUUUUCUAGCUAAAGAUGCAAAUUUGGCUUGGAGGUCAUGAUCUUCUCUAAGGUUAUACAUACCUCCACUAGAUGUAUGAGGUUGAGAUUUACCUGGUGUCUCACAAGUACCUGUAGUGUCCUAAUUUUGAGCAUUUUCAGCUAACAAGUCUAGGUACUUCAUUCCUUCAUCAGGGUCUUUAUCUUUAAAAGUUCCAUUGCAUAUUAAUUCCACCAUUUGCCUAUCUGUAGGUGUUAACCCUUUAUAAAAGUGUGAAAUCAAUCUCCAUGUUUCAAAACCAUAAUGAGGACAUGUAUUAAGCAAGUCUUUAUACUUAUCCCAAUACUGGUAAAAUGUUUCUCCUAGCUUGUGAGUGAAUGUGGUGAUUUGUCUUUUAAAAGAGUUUAUUCUAUGAGAAGGAAAAAACUUCUUUAGAAACUAUUGUUGCAUUUCAUCUCAAGCACGAAUGGAUUCUGACCUCAGGUUUUGUAGCCAUGUUUUAGCUUUAUCUUUUAAAGAAAAAGGGAAAAGCUUUAAUCCGAUGGUGUUCAUGCUACAGUUUGAGUCACUAUAAGUGUUACAAACUUCUUCAAAUUCUCUCAAAUGCAAGUAGGGAUUUUCUUGAUCUAAGCCAUAAAAAGUAGGUAAAAGUUGAAUAAUGCCUGGCUUAAAAUUGAAGUGAGAUGCAUCAGGAGGGAAAAUUAUACAUGAUGGUGCACUUGUUCUUGUAGGAUUCAUGUGGUCUCUAAGUGUCCUAACUCGAUUAUUCUCAUUAUUCUCAUUAUGAAGCGAUUAAUUAUUCUCUUCGCCAUGUUUUCUAAAAAUAAUGAAGAUUUCCUAGGAAGUCUACCACUUAAUGUGCAUGUCCAAACUCUCAUGCAAGUGCAGAAAGGGAAAAAAAAAACAAAAAUUAGAAAAACAUUAAAAGUGAAAAGAAAAAUAAAAUAAAAUAUAUAAUUUAUACAGUAACUUACCUCCCCGACAACGGUGCCAAAAACUUGACACGAUCAAAAGAUUGAUGUAUUAUCCCAAGUACAGGAGUGUCGAAGUAAUAAAUAAUCCGGCAAGACCGGGGUCGAACCACAUGGAGGUGAAAUAUAUAAAAUUACAAAUAAUAAAUGAAAAGGAGUUGAAGAAAACUUUUGAGAUGUGAUAUUGAUGUAAGGAUCAAACAAGGAUAAAACAAUUGUCAAGGUUAGAGGAUCCACUAAUGAUAUUUCAAACAAGUAUAAUAUAAACUCUUUUUAGUACUCAACUGGAAACCACACACAAAGGAGGUUCCAAUCGGUUUAUAAAUUAUUAACAUGAUUGUCACACGUGUGCGGCGUCACGGCGAUAAAUAUCCACUCUCAAUAUAUUUUAUUAUCUAUCUAUUUGGCAAAUAUGGGAAGACAAAGAAUUCUUGUCUCUUAUAUAUGGAAAGAAGGAAUGAGAAUUGCCACCUAGUAUUUUGGUCACUAGAAAUCCUAACUAGUCUCAGAGAUCGGGUACGGGGACUGGUUGCGUAAAGGGAAGGUAUUAGCACCCCAAAUACACCCUACCUAAGGUAAGCUGCAUUGUUUUAUUGUCUUAUAAAAUCUAAAGUCUUAUCGUGUUUUCUAGUUGUUGGUCCGUCUAUGGUUUAAGAAAAAUCCUCCUCGGUAAAGAGACUCUUAUCUUAUCGGGUAAAACCUAACCGUUCUAACAUCAACAAAAGAAUUUAAUAUCUGGAAUACGUCUUACGUAUAAGGUCGUAACCCCAGAAAAUAAAAUAAUUUAUUUUGGAAUUUUUGAAAUAUUGACCUAGUUCUCGUGACUUUAAUAAACUGGUUAUUAAAGCCAAAAUGCAUGCUAAUACAUAUUUUUGAAUUUGUUUUGUUGUAUGAAAAUAUAAUAUGAUUUUUUAUUUUUGAGACUUGGCCGUAUGCAUGAAAACAAAAAAAUAUUUUUUUUAUUUUUCAAUGUUUUGAUGAAAACUGGGUAUUUUAAUACCGGAUUUGUAUAUUUACGGUAUAAAAAUACAAACAAAUACUAAGCAAAAUUCAGUAGAAUAAAAAUUUAAUUUUUUUUAGGUGGGCCCAGCUCGAACCAUGUGGCUGGGCUGGACCCAGCAACUCAAACCCGGUCUCUGGCCCAAGCCAGUGACCCGAUUGGCUGAGACACAUGAAUUUGUUUCACGCGUGCAUUAACAGUGCAAAGGUAAUUAAAUUACAUUCGUAUAGUGUAUAUGCUCAUUUGUAGAUUUAAGAGAAUAUGAAGACGAACGCACCUGGUUUCUAGAAAAACUGAAGAUGAUGACAAUUCUGGUCUUUCAUUCUUUUUAUUAUUCUAGACUUUCUCUUUGGGUUUCUUCCUUUGCUUCUAUUUCUUUUGUUUUAUUCCCUUGCCUUUGGUUCUGAAGGUCAAGGGACAUCAACGAUGGAGGCUGGUUGUUGUUGGGUUUUUCUUGCUUCUGUUCGUUUGUUCCUCUGUAACCGUCUUCCUAUGCUGCCCAGUUCUCCUUCAUGUCUCCCUCCGUUUCUUUUUACUCUCCAUGUUCUCUUUUUCUCCCUCUAUGUCUCGUCUUUCUCCUUGGCGCUGGAACCUGCUGCUUGCAGUUGCAGAAGAAUAUGACAGUGUGGAAGGGUUGUUCCAACACUGCUUCCUCUCCUCGUUUUUUUUUUGUACUCUCUCCUUCCUUUCUUCACUUUGCCUCCCUGUUUUACUUUCUGCCUCUCUGUUUCUCGUCCUUAUCCUCUUCCCCCCUCUGUCUCGUCUUUCUUCGCGUGUUCCCCCCCACUUGCUCGGUCCUUCCUCUGGCUUUUAUAGCAAGAGGAUGCAGACGUUUCCGACAAUAACAAAGUAACGGUCGGCAUGCAUCAUGGUGGCGUGAAACAUGCCCCCAGAUUGAAGUGGCUCCAUUGCUAAGGGCUUCAUUGCAUUUACUGUCGAAACCAUCGCGGAUGAAGAAGGCGAUAAACAAUUGUCGAGGAAACAACGUCAUUUUCAAAUUCAAAAAAGAAUGUUUCUGAUUUGGUCUUUGGAUGUUUUUGCAAUUCCAGCAUCCUUUUAUCACUCCUAUUAUUUUUUUGGAUUCCUUCCGAAUAUAUAUUUUUUAAUAUGUAUUUUUUUUGUAUAUUUUUUUAUUUUUUAUGCAGGAACCCAAAAAUGGGUAACAACAAUGAUCAUAUUAAUUAUCUUAUUUAAGUGAUGUCAAUACUAGUAAAUGUUGUCAAGUAUUCAUAGUGAUAACUUAUGGUAACAACAAAUCAAAUUCCUUUCAUAGCAUAGGUGUCGGUUAUACUAUACAGCUGGCUAUGAAAGUUCCAAGUAUUUGUUGUACCAAGGGUUGUACAACACAAAUCAAGAUUAACCAUUUAACAAGCAAGGUAUUAAGAGUAAGUAAGAUAACAAAUGCAAAACAUGUUAUUAUCAAACAUUAAAGUCCAUGUUGAGUUUAUACUAUACAUAUUCUUACACCAUUAGUGUACCAUUUUCACAUUGACAAAAUAAACUUAGCUAAAUAUAAUGAAGAUGAGAAACAUAAAUAAACAAAAUAAAAACAUAAUAAUGAUAUACAUUAACUAAUUAAAGGAAAGGAAAUGAAAAGUAUAAACAAGAGAUUAAUAUAACAUGAAAUAAAACUUGAACAUUACAAAAUACGAAGAAAGAGAGCAAGAGCAAGAUCUUAAUCUGAAAACCAAGAUGUCUAAAUGUAUGGAAAAUGCCUUCUUUUAUAGGCUAAAAUUUAAAACUAUUGAUUUGAUGACUAAUUAUUGAGUGGGUGGCCACCUCUUGACUUGGUGACAACCAUUAUCUUCUUAUCUGAACAAAACAUCAUUGCUAAUAUCGUAAUUUGAAUAAGAAUAAGCUCAUUUGGACUUCUAGAACUCGAGAUAUGGGCUUACCAGUAUCUGGGCUAGAGGACAGGUUCCGACUUCUCUUUUGUUGCUACAAUUUGAACUUGAAAACGGUUGUUUUGAAUCUUGGAGUCUUCAUGAAAUUUUUAAGCCUAUGACUUAGAUUUCUAUCCAUAUAAACCAAGACCUAAAUCCAAGUUCUACAGCUCUAGUUAUGAUCCAAUAACCGAAUGGUUUUCCAGUUUGAAUUGAACCAGCAUCUCUUUUUUAAGCUUAGCCCUCUCUUUAUCUUUUCACUUUCAAUAGUUAAACACAUCAAUCAAUCCUUUAAAUUAUGAGAUAUGUAUGCAUUCAAAAUAAGCAUUUACCAUAAAUUAAAGAUAUCUUAUGUUAUCAGACUUGCUAUUAUAAAACAUGCUCAAGUUAGGGAAUUUAAUGAUAUUUUAAGUGCAAUAUAAUGAUAUAAAACCUUGAUAAAAAUGCACUUGUAAGUACUAAUCAAAUGGUGUGUGACAUUUCAUGUAAUUUUUUUUUAACUCUCUCAACCUUCUGAUGGCCUUAGUCUGUUGGUAAUUUCAUUAGUAAUUUGUUUAAUACUUUUUUUAAAAAAAUAAAACCAAAUAAACAUAACAUAAAAAAGAUUAAAAGAAAUAAAACUAAAAUAAAAACCAAAUAUUUAUUACAAAUUUUAAAAUUAUCAUUUUGAAUACAAUUCAUUUAGAGGUCAAAAGUUGAAGAAUGAGGAGGAAAAGGCAAAUUUUUGUCGAGACCGAGUGGGCGACGAGGUGGACCAUAUGUACCAUCGAUGUUUGACAACACCUCCACAUAUAAUCACCUAAGUUUGGCAAUCUCAACAUUAGGUCGUUCUGUAUUAGCAGUAAGCUAGGUCAUCUAAGCUUCAACUUGUUAUCGUAUAAUCAUUUAGAACUCUGGAGAUUAGAAGCUCGAACCCGAUUGUGAGGAACCAACGGUCGAUACACCACAACUCGUCCAUAUAUUCGCAACCAUAGUGUUUGAGAUACCAUAAACCUAAUUUCUAUCGAGUUCACCUGACGUUCCGGCCUCCAACCACAAAUCCAAAUUCAAUUUCGGAUGGGUCAAAUGAUUUUCUACAAUUGAGUGGUAUGUGUUUCUUGAAAAAAAAAAAACAAGAAGAAAAACCAGUCAACUAAAUUGAAAAAAUAAUAACUUCAUAAAAAAACUCUUGAAAUCCAAUUUACAAUGAACUUUUAAACAUGGCUAUCCACGAGCUAAUGCACCAUUUCUGAUGGUCAUCAUUCCGCAUGUGAGUUUGUACAAAAAAGCUUUAUUGGUCUUGGUUUGCGUCCAAGAACCAUAUUCUGCAAAAAAAAAAAUUGUUUUUAGUAAAAAAAAAGAUGUAAUAAAAAAGAGUCUUAUUAUCAAAAUUAACAAAACCACAUAACAUGGCGCAAAAAAAAGGGUCAUCAAACAAACAUAAUUAACCAACAAAAAUCUUAUUGUUAACCAUAAAGAAUCUAACCAAGAAUCCAUGAGUAGUCAAAACUCAAAAAACAUAGCAAAUAAACCGCCCCCCUAAAAAAAAAACCCUUAUCGUGGUUGUUGUUGUUGUUUUUACUCUAUUAAUCCAAGUCAGUGAGACUAGCACAAUUGUUUGCAAAGAUUAAAGAAAACAAACACUUAGGAGCAUCAUAAGAAAAAAAAUAAGCUUUGAAAACCUAAAAGUUGCAAGAUAUUUACUUAGUCUGUCAGUAAUUCAGUCGGUAUUUACAUUUUGUCUAUAAUUCAAUCGGUAUAUAAUAAUUUUUAAUUACAAGUGUUAUUUUUCUUAUCUAUUCAACCUGCAAAUAUAGUAAAAUCACAAAACAAUAACACCAUUUUUAUUCAUAAUAAUAAAAUCACAACAAUAAAUGUUUCAUCUUUGUUAAUAACAGUUUAUUGUAAAGAAACAACCAGAAAGAUUACAAUAAAGUUAAUUUCAUUACACAUUGACAUUUUACAAUUUAAUCAGAAUUGUCUUCUUCUUCUUCUUCUUCUUUAAUUUUAUCAUCACCAUGUCCAACAAAAUCUAUUUCAUUGAAUUGAUGCUCGUUGAUAUCAUCAUCUUCAUCAACUUUUGCAUGUCCAUUGGUUCUUAACACAUUAUUUAACUCCUCAAUGUUAACAUCAUUAAAAAUAUUUCUAGUGAUAUGAAAAUUUGAAUUUUCUUCUAAGUCGGUCGACAGAGAAACUCGAUAUGCAUAAACUAAUUCAUCCAUUUGAAAUACAUCGUCUCUCGCAUUUACUUUAUUAUUGCCUUCCUGAACAACAUGGACACGACCUCUGAGUUUGGUUUUCAUUAUUGAUAACCAUUCAACUUUAGAACAAUUCUUUCUAAAUGAAAGAGUGUAUGUGUAAUAAAUUUGUUGGCAUUACUUAGCAAAAAUAAAGACAUUGUCGAUGUUGUGAAGUUUAGCCUUUGUAUUAAUUUUGACCAAAAUAUAAUAUAUACUUUGAUCCCUCUAUCAGCGAUAUUAUACCAAUAACAUUUAAAUGAAAAGAACUUAGUUAAGCUCGUUAUGAUAUGUAGUUCAAUAACCUCUUCAAACUUCCUAUAACAAUCAACUUCAAACUCAUUAGAAGUUGAUCCCUUAACACAAACUCUAUUAUUAUAGGUCUUUUUACCUUGACCAUACUCUUUAGUAUGAAAGACAUAUUCAUUGUCAUAACUUCAUUUUUUACCCCCUACUUUUAUAAAAUUUUCCAAUAUACAAAAAAAUAAAAAAAUAUAUUCUUGAUGUAUUUUCAUCAUUGUUAACAUUUUCAGCGUUGCCUCAAAAGAAUUCAAAUUUUAAAUUUCUUUUCAACACGUUCAACUUUUAACGCGUUAUUUUCAAAAUUGUUGAUUUUUUCUCAUUGAGUUGGUGUUGAUGCUUCCUUUUUUUUAAAAUGAAAAUACAAAAAAAAAAACAAAAAAUAUUUGGACAGAAAUGACCAAAAUGAAAAGGAAGAAAACAAUGGACUAAAGUGAAUUUAUGUUGCUUGUUAGACUAAGUAAUCAGGAAAGAAAACAAGAUUUUCCACCUAUAAAAAGGUAGUUAUCCCACAUAAGAAAGGGGACAUUACAAGAAAUCUAAAGAAAACACCUACCAAAAAUAAAAAAACCAUAGCCCUCAUUUUUACAAAUCCUAGUUGCCAACCACUGGAGAUCUUUCAGCCAAAAAAAAUAUCAAUCUUGUGGCUCUCUUUUUUUGUUCAACUGACCCGAUGCCUCCUAUCCAAUGUCGUUUCGUAGUCAUGACUGCCAACAACGCAGUCUAAUGCCACCACCACAACCCACAUACUCUAGUUUUGACUGUCAAACCAACAACCCCUUCACCAACUGAUUCCUUUACCACCAGUCCCAACAACACCGUCCCCUCUUCCUAGCAACAGUGUCCUUCGAAGCGUGUCCUCACCGGAAACCCAACGACUGAAACCACUACACACCGUGACCUAACCGUGCACCUCCCAACACCCCACAUGCAACCAUCCUUUUCAACUAAGACUUGCCCACCACCCACAGCUCUUUCCACCUCUUUCUCUCGGCCUAGCACAACGACCUCCAAUGUGACCCCAGCCACUCUUCUCUUCCAUCCACGCUGACAACAGUAACAAAGUUUCAACAGCUCCCUCACUCAUAGUAGACCACAACCACCAAAGUAAAGCAUUUCCUUUAUAGCAGAACCGUCAGCCACUUGUAAAGGAGAAGAAAAAAGUGAAAAAAAAAUAUGAAGUAAAGAAAUUGAAAACGGAUUGCGUUUGUGUGAUUCAUUUUCUUUUACAGGUGAAUAUUGCUGAUAGUAUAUAAAGCAAGAGGAGAAGAAACACUUUUAGGGUGUGUUUGUUUCCUGGAAAGUGGUUUCCAGGAAACUACUUUCCAAACUUUCUUAUGUUUGUUUGUCAUUAGGAAAGUUGGUCAACGGAAAACACUUUCCUGUCAUAUGAAAAUUUGGCUUGAUUUCAAGGAAAGUGUUUUCCUUUUAUUUUGGGCGGAAAAUACUUUCCAGAAGUUGUGAAAAUUUUAAAAAUAUCAUAUUAUUUGCUGAUUAUGUCAAAUUUGGUCCUCAAACUUUUGAUUGCUAUAUAUUUUGUUUGAAUAUUUUUUUUUUCAAAUUCAUCCCUUAAAACUUGAUUUAAUUUGAUUUUUAUAUUAACUUUGGUUUUUAUUUUUAUGAUUGUUAUUUACUUUUCUCUUAUCAUUUUUUAAAUUGAAUUUUUUUUAUCUAUCAAAUUUGGUCCUUAUUUUUUUUAUUGUUACUUAUUUUAUUUAAAAUAAUUUAUGAAAUUGUAAUUAUUAUUAUUUUAAUUUCAUCAUCUUUCAAUUUUUAUAUCUCUUAGAUUUGAUCUCUAUUAUUUUGAUGAUCAUUAUUUAUUUUAUUUGAGAUAAUUUAUGAAAUUAGAUUUUUUCAAUUCUGUUCUCAUUCAACUUUUUAAUUUGUAAGAUUUGUUCCUUAUUAUUUUAAUAAACUUGAAAAAAAAUAAAACAUUAAUAAGCUAUUUUCUAUAACAUAACCAAACACUAGAAAGUGUUUUCCAACUCACUUUCCAUGAUACUACCAAACAUCAAAAAUUAAUUUACUUUCCCGGAAUUCAUUUUCCAAUUAAACUACUUUCCAAAAAGAAACUACUUUCCUACAAAUAAACAGGGCCUUAGAUCCAUCAUUUUUCUGCCUUCACCAGUGACGGCACGUGUGCUUACACGUAGCCAGUAGCGUGACACGUGAUACCAAUAUGCCGCCACUAUUCUUGCGAGUUUGGAGGCUUUCCACCUUUAAAAGAUCAAUUUUUGAAAAUUUUAAAUGCUUAAUAUGGGUGUUUAAACUAUUGUUGAAUUUUGAAUUUUAUGGUUUGUAAAAAUGUAAUUGUGAGGUGUGUGAGUAAAAACAUAGUAAAAAAGAGUGUGUGUGUGUGUGUGUUGCAUUUUUUUUUAUUACCUUUUAUUUUGCAUUAAAAAUAGGGAAAAGAUAAAAAACAAUUAAUUAAUCAAACGUUUUGAUUGCAUACAGUCAAAUCCUAAAAGUUUUCCAAGUAUAUUUUUAUAAAAAACAAAAAUGAAUCCUUCUCAUGUUUUAAAAUGAAAAAUGGAUAUUGUACCUAGUUUAUGAUUAUCCGUUAAGUUUUGGCAAAAAUAACAAAAACCAUUCACCAAUCAUUUUGUUCACUGUAUAUUUCAAGUGUUAAGGUUUAGCUGUAAACUUUAAUUUUGCUCAAUUUUACAAGCGUCUAUUUUUUAUUGUAUAAUUAAAUAAAAAAAUUAUUUCAAAAAAACAAAGUUAUUAAUUUUUCAAAUCGUAACUUUGGUAGGUGGGUUGAUUGAAAAUCUAGUUUCAUAAUUUGUUUCGGUUUGCUUUUUAUGGGGUUAUUAUGGUCUUAAACAAGCAUUCUGAUAUUAGGUUUGUGCUUGAUUUUGUAAGCGUGUUUUUUAUACUAUAAUUAAAUAAAAAAUAGUUUAAAAAAAGUUAUUAAACCUAGUGGAGUCUAUGAUCCAGGUUGCGGGAUUGACGAGUUAACUUGGAUUGAUUGAAAAUUAGCUUUAUGAUUUGUUUUGAUUUGUUUCCUAUGAGGUUAUUAUAUCUUCAAACAAAUAUCUUGGUAUUGAGUUAUUGCUCGGUUUUGCGAGCAAUUUUUUUUAUCAAUAUAUAAUUAAAUAAAUAAUAAUUUAAAAAAUUAUUAAACUUAGUUAGAGUUUAUGAUCCACGGGUCGAUCCAAUAUGUCGUUACUCGGUUUUGCGAACAAAUUUUUUUAUCAAUAUAUAAUUAAAUAAAAAAUAAUUUAAAAAAUUAUUAAACAUGUUGGAGUCUAUAAUCCAGAUCUUGGAUUUGAAGGAUUAAGUUAUAAAAUUAGAGUCGAUUCAAUAUAUCAUUGUCUUAAUAUAUAAAAAAAAUUAUUAUUUUGAUUUUUUAAAAAAAUUAAAUCAUGUUUUUACUAAUGAUGUAACUUGUUUUUUAAAAUUGCUAGUCAAUUAAUUAAUGUUAAAAUAGCUACCACAUAAUUUAAUAUAAAAUCUAAUAAAUCAUAGUCAAAAACAUUUUAAAAUUGACUUCUUGACUGUUAAAAAGUUUUUUUUGCAGUAUGAAUAUUUUUAAAUGUUUCAAAAACUUUGAGGUGCGUCGCGCGAAUUGGGGCUAUCUAUCUAGCAUAUAUCAAGCACCAUUGGCGCGUGGGCUUGAAAAGUAACAAAAACUCCAACAAGCAUUGAUCCCAAAGGAAGAAAGAAAGAAAGAUAAAGAUACUCACAGUACUUUGUGAUGGAAGCAACCCCCCUUCCCCUUCUCCUUCCCCUUCUCCUUCCCCUUCCCCUCCAUUUAUAAAUAUAAAAACUCCUCCCUCUAAACUCCCACUUGCUCCCCCCGUCGACAUCAAGUCUCUCUCUGUCCCUCUCACUCUUUAAAACACAAACACUUCAAUUCUCCCCCCUGGCGAUGCAAGGACUACGACAACGUUGCUCUGACGACGUCGAUCUUCUCGACCUCAGUUCCCCACUGAACUCCUCCUCGUCCUCUUCUUUAUCCAUCGACGAAGCAGAAUCCACGGAGACAAGAAUCCAACGGCUUAUAUCUGAGCACCCAGUUAUCAUUUUCUCUCGAUCUUCUUGUUGCAUGUGUCAUGUCAUGAAGAAACUCCUUGCCACCAUUGGUGUUCACCCUACUGUAAGAUCUAUGCCCUCCCUCCCGCGGCUGAAGACGGCUCAUUGGUGGCACCUGUGUUGGUGGCCUUGAGUCUCUUGUUGCUCUUCACCUGAGUGGACAUCUUGUGCCUAAGCUUGUUGAACUUGGUGUCUUGGCUUUCUCUUCUGGGUAUGGUAAUAAUAAUCAUAUCAUAUUAUCAUAAUAAUAUAAAAGGGUAAUCAUAUUAAUUUUAAAGCUUGUAAAAUUAAUUGAUAUGCACACAAACUAACUCGAACAUUGAUAUUAAUUAAAAAAAUAUAUAUAGGAACAACUCAAUUUAACUUCAAAUACAACUAAAGGAAACAAGAUUCGAGAUUGUGGAAAGAAACAGCACGAAUGGUGGAAACUAGGACUUGUCCUUUUUCCCUUUCCUUCUUAACUGGAAUUUAAAAGAGAGUAAAAAGGUGGUGCUUAGUCAUGCCUUAGACUACCAAGAAGAAGUUGUGUUUGUAUGGAUGAUCCAUCCCCAUGCAUGUAGAUUACUUGCUUCAUUCAUUUGCAGUAAACAAAACGAGGCAAUAUAUAUGAACAUCUACAAGUAAAUUAAAGAGGUUUUCAAUCCCUGCUUCUUGAUCAGAUGACUUGGCAGCGAUCUGUUCUUGAAGAGUUAAACUUAGCUGUGGCUUAACUGGACCACACGUACGAAAUAGAGUGAGCAAAGUCUUAAGAAACACAGCCCUUUUGCAUUAUUUUAUCUUGUUUAAUCUGUUAAAAGUCAAACAACAUAGAUAACAGGGGAUAAAAAAAAUUAAAUGGAUCUAAUUUAUAAUUUAUAAAAUAUCACCAUUAUAAAUCCAAAUCUGACCCAUCUAUGUAUAUUAAUUAUUUUAUUUUUAUUAAAUAAUUAAUAAUAAUAAAAUAUUAAAUAUUCAUAUAAAUAUUAAAAACCUAAUAAAUAGUUUUUUAAUUUUUUACUAGUUAAGUAAUCGACAAGAUAAAGCGUUGAUACCUAUUAUCAUCUGCUAUGCAAGGCUCAUGACUCGUGGCAUCGCUUCUCUUUAACCACCUGGCCUGACAGCCUGAGAUUACUUGCCAUCAUCGAUCAAUCCACUUCCUUGUCGGAGAUCGAAUUUUUUUUUAUUCAAAUAACAUUAACAUGGCAUCAUCCAUAGUCUUUAAAGUCGGUCUACUCCAUGUUUGGAUUUCAGGUUUUGAUCAGAUUAUUAAAUUUUAACCAGGUUGACUGGAUGGGCUAGAUCAAUAUUUAUUUAAAAAAAAAUUCAAAACAGCGUCGUUUUAUAAAAAAAAUAAAAGUCAACAGGUUGCAACCGGGUUUUUGAUCGGUUUUUGCCGAGUCACCGAGAUCAACCCGCCGGGUCGGCCGAGUUACAUCAGGUCAUGACUUUUCCUAUUUUUUCAUCAACCCGGUCCCGUUCCAGCCUCGGACCGGCCGGGUCCAGGGUCAACCCACUGAGUCGGGCCGGGUUUCAAAAAUAUAUCAUCAUCACUCAUCAUGGCUGACCACAUAUAAAACACCACCUUGUAAACAUCUCGCUGAAUAAAAUAUAUAUGUUCCCUCUUCAUCUCUAUUUUUAAACAAAAUUCUUGGGCCAUAAUAAUGUUCUUGUUGAUAUAAUAUUUCGUUAAGAACAAGACAAUUUCAUUAAACCAAAUAAUAUCAUUUUAUAAUGUAAUACUAGAUUUAAAUAAAAUUAUCAUAUAAAAAUUGAAUUAUAAAAUAUAAAAUAAUACAUUUAAAUAAUAACUUAAUGUACAUUUAUUCUAGACAAAUUACUCUUUUAGCAAACAUGUUAUGGAGGCUUUAUAAAAAUAGGAGGGAAAACAUCUAAGGAAAAAAAAUUACCUAAGUAUUCUAUAGUAAAUUAAUGUAUUUUACACUCUACUUUUAUUAUUUAAAAAAUUACAAAAAAAGUAUCAUAGUCAACAAAAAAAAUUUAUGUAUUUUUAUUUGAUUCCAAAUAAUUAUUAUUAGUUUAACUCUUGUAUUUUCGUUACGGGUUGGAUCUAAAUUUUUUGAAACAUAAAAAAUUAAUAUCUAGAUUGUUAUAAAUUUAUUGGCGUUAUUAUUAAACUCGGUAUAAUAGUUUAAACUUUAAAAAUCUCGAGUCAACUCUUUGAUUAAUAUUUAGCGUCAACCCACUAAACUCGAGUUAUGAACUCUACUAGGUUGAAUUAUUUUUUUAUUUUAUUAUAUGAUAAAAAAUAUAAAAAUUAAUUUACCAUCAAUUAAUCCAAUAUAAAAGGAUAAGAUUCAAUAAAUAAAAAAUAUCACUAAAUAAUAGAAUUGUAAAAAAAAAAGAUAACAAACAGUUAGACAUGUGAGUUUGAGGGAGGCACACGUGCCUUGCCCAAUAUUGUUUUUCUUUUUAUAAGGGGUGGACCUUUUCUUAGAAAAAAACAAAAAUGAUAGAUAUGUCAUAAACUAAUUUUGGGUUGCAAAAUUUUUCUUAUUUUUUCAAGAAAAUACUUUCUAUAAGAAAGAAACCCAUAAAAAAUUCAAAAUUAUUUUGGGUUACAAACAGACAUUUAUGUAAUUCAUAGUUGGUUAGAACACCAUGUUGAUAGAUAAUUUAGGGUUUGACUGAAGAAAAUUAAUUGAAACUAGUCAAAAUUGCAUAAAUUAGAAGAUUAAGGAUCAAAAUGGACAAGGUGAAAAAGUCUAGGAGUCCAAUUCUAUCAAUCAAGGACUUAAUUGAAAGAGAUUGAAACUUGAAAGGGCUUAAUUGAUCUAAUCCAAUCAAGGGUUUAAUUGAAAAAAAUCAAGUUUGGGAAUCAAUUUGGAUAAAAUUAUAAGAAUUAAUAGUCCAAGGAUCAAAGUGUAAUAGGCAUUGAAAGUGAAGGAGCUUGAUUGAAGGGUCUGUUUGAGAGUGUAGUAGAGGUUGCUUUUCAAUUUGCUUUUUGCUCAGAAAUGCAUUAAAUAAUAUUUUUUUAAAAAUUUAUUUUUAAUAUCAGCAUAUCAAAAUGAUUUAAAAGAAUAAAAAAAAUUAAUUUGAAGCAAAAUAAAAUAAAAUUCAAAAUUUUUCAGAAGCGUUGUUCAACCGUAUUUUCAAACACACCCUUAAUCAGGGAUGAAAUUGGAAGAAUUGAAAGUUUGAAGGCUCAAUUAAGAGCCAAAAUAAGCAAAUCAGAAACUUAUGACCAUUAUAUAAGGCACAUGGAAGUUCAGGGGUUUAAUUGAAGAAGAUCGAGGGUGAAAAUGCAAAGAUUCUUGAAAAUAGUGCCAAUUUAGAGCUCAAUUGCAAGAUUUUUAAAAUCAAGAAUCAAAAUUAAAAAGAGGCUGUAAUCGAAACCGUAAUUUGUACCCCUCUUGGAUGACAUGAUGUAUGGUUUAUCGGAUGUCAAGUUGUUCGUUCAACCCUCAACUCAGAUGACUUGUCGUUGAAGGUAACCUUAAUUUAGAGGGCUAAGAAAUGACGUGUCUUCACAACCCGGAUUUUUUGCCAUAUCCCGAAUGACCUGUCGUUCACUUGAGAGGGUUUGAAAAUGGCACUGUUUCAUUAAUGUCUACUAUUCAUUUUCUCCCACUCCUAUUCAAGUUUAAACCCGAGAGCAUGCAAGGGUCUACAGCAAUCUUUCAAGCCUAAUUGGUUCUCCAUGUUUAUCCUACCAAUCAACGGUCCUAAUCCUCCAAUUCCCAACCUUUUCCUUUCCCCUCAAGACUCUCCACAAGAUACAACAAAACCCAAACCCAACCAACCAUAUAUUCUUACCAAAAGCAAUACAAACAUAACAGUACCCUACUGUGUCAACUCUCAAAACCAAACAAAAGGACACCCUUAGCUGCCACUAAUGGUGUUGAUCCCCUCCAAAGAAUAAAGAGUUGAGGUCCCUCCAGCUCAUGAACCCUAGAACCCUCCUUUUUCUCCUAUAAAACAACACCAAAACCCUACCUAGAAGAGAUGACUUAGACAAGAAACCCUAUCUUUCAAGCCCUAGCAGCCACCAUCUCUGCAACCAUAAAACCACCAUAGGAGAGAGCAGAACAAAAGGAAAAGGAAGCAACAAGAAGAAAAAGAAACUACAGAGAGCUGAGAGAGGGAAUACAAUAGAGAGAGAAGAAAACAAAAGGGAGAAGAAGGCAGAAGCAAGAAGGAGAAGCCUAGUGACAUAUGGUACGUAGUGCAAGUGUAAUACUAAGCUGUCAUUUUAGUUUUCCUUGUUUUCAACCUGGCUAAAUCUUUUUUGGUUCUUCUUUCUGUUUUUGUUCCUUUUAUGAUCUAUUUUCUUAUCACAUAUGGUAAGUCUAUGAGUGCUUGCUGUUUAUGUUAAGCUUUAAGUCCAGAAUGAUUAGUUUCCUUUUUUGUAGUUUAAUCUUGCUGGUGAGUUAGGUUGUGGGGUGGGAAAGUUUGUUCCUCGGCUUUUCUAUGGUUUAAAGUCAAUUUUCCUAGGAUGGCCAUGGAGCUUUCCUUUCUCCUUUUGGUUAUGGUAAGAGGUACGUAUGUCACUACCAGAAAAUCGGAGAACACCAACGGAAUUACCGGCGGAAUUUUUUCGUCGGAAAUAUUUAAUGACGGAAUUAAUUCCGUCUCAAAAGCUGUCGGUAUUUACCGACAGAAUUAUUCCAUCGGUAUAUACCGACGGUAUCGCCGACGGAGAGAAACUUUUUUUGAAAUUUGCAACAGCGUGAUGACGUGGAUUUUUUUCAGACGAAUUUACCGACGGAAAUACCGAGGGUUUCAAACCCGGAUAGCUGUUCAGCGACGUGUCGCUUCCACCGGCGGAAUCACCGACGGAAAGUUUUCGUCGGUGAGUCCGUCGGUAAAAGCCAGUACAUACUGACUCUGUCGACACUCUCUUCCUUUGUUUCUCCUUCUUCUUCCCAUUUUUCUUCCCCAUCCCACAUCUCCCCUCCCAAACUGCAGCCAACCACCCAUCCCAACUCUCCCCUCUUCUCAACACAAGCACUCAAGUUUUUUAUAUUUUUGUACGUGGUCACAACAUCCGUUAAUUCUUGUGGAUUUUAUCAUUUUUUGUAAGUAAAUUUAUCCUUUUUAGUUUUAACUCUUAAAUGUGAAUUUUAUUGUUUUUUUAGUAUAUGUAUUUUGUUAAAGAAAGUUGUUGUAUGAAUGUAUAAUUUUGUAGUUGUUAUAGUUUGUUUUAGAUUUUGUCAAAUUAUAUUUGUUUGUAAAUUGUUGAAAUUUUGCUUGAAUUACACCGAAUUAUAUGUGUUGUGAUGAAAUAAAUAAUAGCUUGUUUAACGGGUCUGUUUUAAUUGUUAUCAAUUAUAUUGCGAAGUUGUGAUUUCUGUAAAUUUAUAUAUGUAUAAAUUUGUAUGUAUGAACGUUGAUAGUUGAUAAUUGAUAAUGAAUAUUUAACAUAAGAAACCAAUAUUUUUUUUUGAUGUUUUAUAGAGAUUCAAUAGAAGUCAUGGAUGAUCGUUCAUGGAUGUAUCGGGACUUACCCCAAGGAUUGCGGAGGAUGGAUUAUUGUAACGGUGUGCAGGGUUUUAUUAAUUUCGCAACAUCUAUCCUGAGAAAUUUUACUGAUGGCGGUAUUAGGUGUCCAUGCAGGAAGUGUAAAAAUUUAAAGUUUCUGCAUCAAGAUGUUGUAACGAUGCAUCUUCUAACCAAAGGAUUCAUGCAGGAUUACCUAUGUUGGUAUGCACACGGAGAACUAUUUGUUCCUAAUGAGAGCAUGGUUGAAAGGAUGGUCGGGUCAACUUCUAGUGCUAUCAACAUGCAUGAAGUUGGAAAUGAGAACAGUAAUCCUUACAGGAAUAUGGUUAUGGAUGCAAUGAGAAUGAGUGAAGGUAAUGUCAGUGAAUUUCCAAACGUAGAAGAAGAACCUAAUGCAGAUGCAUCAAGGUUUUUUGAUCUGUUGAAAGAUUCUGACGAGCCAUUAUGGGAUGGCUGCACGAACCACAGUAAAUUAUCGGCCGUAGCACAGGUGUUCACCAUCAAGUCAGACCACGGGUUGAGUGAGGCCGGUUAUGACAAGAUUAUCGAAUGGACGAGAAGCAUUUUACCUAAAGGGAACAGGCUGAAAGAGAACUUCUAUGCUGCCAAGUCCAUGAUGAAACCCCUCGGUUUAGGAUACCAGAAAAUUGACAUGUGCCCUAACUUCUGCAUGUUAUACUACCUUGAAAAUACUGAGCUGACCGAGUGCAUGACAUGCGCGCAUUCCCGUUACAAACCCAGAACUGGAAGAGUAAAGACUCUCGUGGCAUAUAAAAAACUUAAAUACUUCACAAUCACACCUAGACUGCAGAGGUUAUUCAUGUCACCAAGGACUGUUGAGCACAUGACAUGGCACCAAUCACAUCAUGUUGUUGAUGGAGUGAUGGUGCAUCCUUCUAACAGUGAAGCCUGGAAACACUUUAACAGUGUGCAUCCUCACUUUUCAGCUGAAUCAAGGAACGUGCAUCUUGGGUUGUGUACAGACGAAUUCAACCCAUUUGGGUCAUUUGUUGCUCCUUAUUCUUGUUGGCCAGUCAUAUUGACAGUUUAUAACUUGCCACCGGGGAUGUGUAUGAGGCCGGAGUUCAUGUUUCUAUCUAUGGUCAUACCAGGUCCGAGCAGUCCGGGGCGAAAUAAAGAUGUUUGUCUUCGUCCGUUGAUUGAUGAGUUGAUGCAGUUGUGGUCCUCUAGAGCUUUGACUUAUGACAUCUCGAGGAAACAGAAUUUUGUUAUGAGAGCGGCUUUGAUGUGGACUAUCAAUGAUUUCCCAGCUUAUGGAAUGGUUUCUGGUUGGAGCACGUGUAGAAAGCUAGCAUGUCCAUACUGUAUGGAGAACAACAAGGCAUUCACGCUAACAAACGGGGGUAAAGCUUCUUUUUUUUACUAUCACCGUCGCUUCUUGCCGCCGAAUCACGGGUACAGAAAGAACAAGAAGGAUUUUUUUGUUGGCAGAGUUGAAAAGGAUGUUGCACCCCCGAGUCUUUCCGGUGAAGAAUUGCUUGAUGUUGUUUCAAAGUACGGUGACAUUGUGUUUAGUCUCCAAUCAGGUAAGCAGAAGUUUCCUGGUUUUGGUUUGACCCAUAACUGGGUGAAGCGAAGUAUAUUUUGGGAGCUUUCUUAUUGGAAGACCAAUCUUCUCCGCCUAACCUUGACGUCAUGCACAUUGAAAAGAACGUGUUUGAGAAUAUUUUCAACACCGUCAUAGAUGUGAAGGGGAAGACAAAGGAUAACAUCAAGGCUAGAUUGGAUGUAGCGUUGUUAUGUAACCGUAACAAUAUGGAGUUGGUUUAUGAUGGGUCACGGGUCGCAAAACCAAGAACAAGCUUCGUGUUAGAGAAAAACGCACAACUACUAGUCUACAAAUGGCUUAAGAUUCUGCGUUUCCCCGAUGGACAUGCCUCAAACAUAUCAAGGCUGGUUAAUACCGAGAAAUGCAGAUUAUAUGGAAUGAAGAGUCAUGACUGCCAUGUGUUUAUGCAAACACUUAUCCCAUUAAGCUUUUCGUGAUUUGUUACCAAAGGGGAUAUGUGAUGCACUAACGGAGAUCAGUCAUUUUUUCAGAGAUAUAUGCUCUAGCAAGUUGAAUGUUGAUCACAUUGAGAGGCUUGAAACGAAUAUCGUGGAUACAAUAUGCAAACUUGAGAUGAUAUUCCCUCCAUCAUUUUUUGACUCAAUGGAGCAUCUACCCGUACAUUUACCGUUUGAGGUAAAAGUUGGAGGACCGGUCCAGUACAGAUGGAUGUAUCCAUUCGAGAGGUUAGAUAUUACAAUUGCUAUGUAAUUCAUAAUUAAAUGUUUUUUUUGUUUUUUUUAUUGAUAAUUUUUUAUUAUAUAUAUAUAUAUAUAUAUAUGCAGAUACUUGUUCAAUCUUAAAAAAAGGGUUAAGAACAAGGCGCAUGUUGAGGCGUCAAUAUGUGAGGCCUAUAUUGUUGAGGAGAUCUCAACAUUUAUCUCAUACUAUUUCGAACCUCAUUUGAGAACGAGGAUCAACCGUGUUCCACGGCAUGAUGAUGGUGGUGAAAUGCCUUCAAGUGAGAACUUGUCAAUAUUCUCGAAUCCUGGACGACCCACGCCUAAAAAUGUCGUGAGGGGAAGAUAUUUGUCUAAAAUAGAGUUCAGACAAGCACACAAUUAUAUCUUAUUUAACUGUGAUGAGCUGAGACCUUUUAUCAAGUAAGUAGAUGUUCAACAUAAACUUUGUCAAGAGUGUACUAUUUAUGUUUUGUGAUACCAUAAACUCAUAUAAUUUGAAACAACCUUGCAGGCAACAUCGACGAUACUUACUAUCCAAUAACUCACAGCUGAUCGAAUCCCAGAUCUUUCAAUUACAAGAUGAACAAUUUGCCACAUGGUUUAGAACACAUGUAAGUCCUAUCACAAACUCAUAAUCUAUUGCAAUGUAAUUCACUGUACGUCAAUAUAUAUUACAUAAUAUAUGUUUAUUGAUUGUUGUUGUAUUUAAUAUACAAGGUUUAUCAAAUGGGAGUUAAUGUUGUUAUUUCACUGUUUUUACUAAGCCUGGGCCCUGAAAGAAAAGUCAAGUGCUAUAACAGGUAUUUUGUCAAUGGAUAUAUCUUUCAUACUGAAGAAUACGGGCAUGGAAGAAAGACAUACAACAGUGGGGUUUGUAUUAAGGGAUCAACUUCUAGUGAGUUUAAAGUUGACUACUACGGUAGAUUGAAAGAGGUCAUCGAACUGCAAUAUCAUAGCGAGCAGAAUAAAGUGUUUUUAUUCAAAUGCUAUUGGUAUGACACAACUGACAGAGGAAUCAGAGUAGAUCCUCACUAUGGUCUCGUUGAAAUCAACUCAAAAGCUAGACACCGCAACGUAAACGACAUCUUUGUUUUCGCAAAGCAAUGCCAACAAGUUUAUUACACAUACACCCUUUCCUUUAAAAAGGACCGAUCAAGAGUUGAUUAGUUAUCCGUUUUAAAAACAAAACUCAUGGGUCGUGUCGAGGUUGUUCAGGAUGAGAACGAAGACACAAGUGUGAUAGAUGAAGUCUUUCAAGCUAGUGAGUUGGUUGAACCAUACCGAGUUGCUCCUUCGAUUGACUUAGAAGAAAAUUCAAAUUUUCUUGUUUUCGACGAUAGUCUUGUUGAUGUUGACGCAGAGGAGUUGAAUGUCGUUUUGAGCUCUACUAGUGCAGUAGAGAAUGUUGAUGAAGAAGAUGAUAACCACAUUGAAGAGUGCGAUGAAGCGGAUGAUAACAAUUCAAUUGAGGACGAAGAUGAAAAUUUUGACUAAACAUGCUGUAAAACCUUAUUUUUAUAAUGUAAUAUUUUGGAACAUGAAAUAUUUAUUCUUUUUUAAUUGUCAGCUCAUGUUAUUGUGUUGUGUGUGAUCUAAGUGUGCAGGAGGAUACACAAAAAUGCAGGGCGAAGCUGUAGAAAUAUUGACUGUUUCACCAACGGAAUGGGGAAAUUUCCGACAGGUACACCGACGGCCUAGUGCCGUCGGUAUUUUAAAGAGAGUUGGAAAAAAAUUACGGACUUGUGCCACAAUUUUCGACGGAAAUCACCGACGGAAUGGGUAAAUUUCUAACGGGUACACCGACGGCCUAAUGCCGUCGGUAUUUUACAAAGAGUUGGAAAAAAAUUAUGGACUAGUGCCCCAAUUUCUGACGAAAAUCACCGACGGAUAUUACACAUCCCGAAGCGCCUAUCACCGACGAAAAUCGCACAUCCCGAAGCGCACGCCUGUUAGAGGCACGAUUACCGACGGAACAAUUUCCGACAGAACUUACCGUCGGAAUUACCGACGGAUCGAAAAAAAGAGGCGGCAUUUUUGAAAUUUUUGGUGCGCAUUUCAACUUAUUUCCGUCGGAAUUACCGACAGAAUUGAAUGCCACCGACAACAAUUAAUGUUCUGUCGGUAAUUCCGAUGGAAAUAUUGCUAUAUAAACCCCUCCUCCCUUCAUUUUGUUCAUUUUUUCUCUUCUCUUCAUCUCCAUUUCUCUUCUCCUCUCCAUUUCUCUUCAUCUCCAUUUCUCUUCUCCUCUUCAUCUACAUAUUAAAAGGUAUGUAUUCUUUUUUCUUUAUCUUUGUAUUUUUUUUAUUUUAAUUAUGAUUAUUUUUUUGGUGUUCUUUGUUUUGUGUAUUGUUUAUAGAUAAAAUCUAAAAAUUAACACACUAUUAAGGUAAGCAUUUUUUAUUCCGAAAUUUGUUUUGAAUUAAUGUAUUGUUUUUUUAGUUUUGUGUAUUGUUUGUUUUGUAUUUAGGUUGUUUUGUUUAGUGUUAUUUAGUUUUUCAUUUUAUUUAUUAAUUUUAGGAUAUUAUUGUUUGUAUUGAAAUAAUUGUUAUUGUUGAAUUAAUGUUAUAAAUGUGAAUUGAUAUAUAGAAUUAAAUGUAAUUAGUUUAUAUUAAUUUUAGGAUAUUAUUGUUUGUAUUGGAAUAAUUGUUAUUGUUGAGUUAAUGUUAUAAAUGUGAAUUGAUAUAUAGAAUUAAAUGUAAUUAGUUUAUAUUAAUUUUAGGAUAUUAUUGUUUGUGUUGAAUUAAUGUUAUAAAUGUGAAUUGAUAUAUAGAAUUAAAUGUAAUUAGUUUAUAUUAAUUUUAGGAUAUUAUUGUUUGUAUUGGAAUAAUUGUUAUUGUUGAGUUAAUGUUAUAAAUGUGAAUUUAUGUUGUUUCUUAUUUUGAUUAAUUUUAAUUGUUAUUUAUGAAUUUGUAUUGAUGGUAGUUGAAAAUAUAUAGAUGUUGAAUUUCUAUAGAUGUUAGGUUGUAUAUAGUUGAUUUUGCAAUAUUUUUGUAAUUAUCAAUAUUUGUAGGUAUGAAAAUCGUGGGUAGUCUCUAAUAUAAGGGAGGUGCUGUCGAAUUUUUUUUAAUGAUUGAAUUGGUAUAGAUAUUAGGUUGUAUAUAUGAUGUUGGUGGAGAUUAUAUGGAUUGUGGUUAUUGUAAAGAUUGCAGGUUUGAAAACUGUGGGUAGUCUCCAAUAUAGGGGAGGUGCUGUCGAAUUUUUUUUAAAAUAAUCAAAGUUAAUUUAUGUAAUAAUUCAUAUAUAUUUGUGUAGAUGCGUCGAAUGAAAUCUACAGCAGACGGUUGCACAUAGUUCUUCUAGCAGCGAGGAGGACAUCUCCUUAGGUGCUGAUCACGGCGAUGCAUCUGCGCCACCGUGUGAUGCUGCCUCUUCUAGCGCGGUUUCACAGCGCAGAAGCGGUGUGCCUUCACAGCGGGGUCAAUUCACCCGCAAGUACCAGGCACAAUGGAAGGAUGACCUCUCAAUGUAAGUUUGUUUAUGUUUUAUUUUUUUUUAAUACUUAUAACAUAAUUUAUGAACAACUAAUUAAUUUUUUAUUAUUUAAUUUCAGGUUCACAAACAUUGAGGCUGCCAGGACAAUUACAUUGGCGUUGAAAUCAUCGAUGGAGAUUCCAUUGUUUCAAUGGAGUCAGGUCUCCAGACAUCCUGAGUGAAGACCUAAUAUCAAUGCCUGGUUUCGGCAAUUUCAGGUAGGUGUUAAUUUUUGAUAUUUCCAGUUUAUUUUUAAUAAAUAAUUUUUGUAAUUUUAUAUCUUGUACUAUUUUUAUUUUCAAUGAAUUAUUUAUAUAUACAGAAUAAAUUUGAGUGGGAUAGCGCGGACAACAAUGUUGUCAGGAGAGUAUGGGAGAAUCACGUGGCAACUAGGUAACAUCGAAAAUAAUAUUUAUUUUUGAUUUAUAAUUUUAUGUUCUAAAUUCUAAUUAGUUACUAUGGAAGUAGGUUGCGUGAUUUUUGAUAUGACACCCAAAAAAAGGCGAAAAGAUAUGCGAGGGACAACAAUCUUGAAGGUUGGAAUGAGGUGGCGAUUUGGCGGGAAUUUAAACCGCCAUUCAUCUCGGGAGAUAUAUGGGCGGCAUAUAUUGAGCACGUGAUGUCUGAGCGGUUCUCACGGCGCUCACAAUCCGAAGCCGUCAACCGGAACCGGCAAAUUCAUGGUUCAGUGACCACGCACACCGGCGGCUCCGUCCCGUUCAGCGCACAUGUGAAGCGGAUGGUAAGAUUAAUUUAAAUAAAAUAUAUCGUUAAUUAAUUUAUUGUUGCUUAUAAAUAUAUUUAACUUGCAAUCUUUUUUUUCCUUACAGGCUACGUCUCUUGGACGUGAGCCGAGUCCAAUGGAGCUAUUUGUAGAGACGCACGAUCGGAGUCAAGACCGCCAAAAGGGGGUGCAGCAGUACGUGGACAACCGUGCUCAGCAUUUUGUGGUAUGUUCGAUCAAUCAUUUUAUUUCGUAAGUUAUUAUUUUCUUGAAUUGAAUAUGAUGAUUUUAAAAAAAAAAAUUCAAGAGACCUAUAAUAGCCGGUUGAGAGAGAGAUAUGGGGACGAUCCUUUGACCCAACCAGAUUUCGAUCUGGAUUUGUGGAUGAAGGUCGGAUCAUCUGGUGGACCCGAUAAAAAUCGGGUCUACGGGCUCUCCAACACUACGGCCGAAAAAUUACGGUCGACCGGUAGUGUCUCAACCGUUGGGAGCUCUCCAUCAGUAUCGAGCACCCAGUCAGAGGAGUUUUUAGCCUUGAAACGACAAUAUGAACACCUCUCGACGAAUUAUGCUCAGCUCCAUCAAAUGGUCAUGGAGAUUAGAUUAAAGAUGGGUGAUGAUCCAUGAGCUACUUCUUUUUGGCCGUACGGCCCCGGCAACAACCAACCUCCUCCUCCUCCUUCUCCAGCUCCGCCGCUAUUUUAAUUAGUUUAAUUUUGUUUUUUAAAACAUUAAAUUUGUAAUGAAUAUUUUGAUGAAUAUUAUUUAACGUCAUUUUUAAUGUUUAAUGCAAAUUUAUUUGGUUAUUAAGUUUUUUAACUGUUAAUAAAUAGAGACAAUAUUUGCUAACUAUUAUUUGUAACAUUUUAUCAAGAAUCAACUUUUAUCAAGAAUCAACUUUUAUUUAAAAUAUUUGUAACACAAUUUGGAUUACAAGACAAAUUUGCUAACUAAGACUUAAAAUAAUAUAUUAAAUUGAUUUAUUAUUUAUAUAAAUAGUUAAACUAAUCUCAAUAAUUUAGUUGUUCUGAUAAAUAGUUAUAAUCAUAGUGUUUGUAAAAUAUCACGAGUUUAUUUUUUAAAAUACUUUUUUUCUUUAUAUAUAAUAAUUAAAAUAAAUAUUUUUAAUAAUCAUAAUAUUUUAAAUUAUGAGAAAAUGUGUUUUUUAACCAAAAUUUCAUUUUUGUUAUGGCUGAGGUUUGUUUUGGACUUCAAGAGGCGGCACAACAAUAACAUAUUCGGAUGAUUCUUUUCAAGUAAAAAUUUUAUGCAACAAUUAUUUCUUCUACUGUGACACAUUAAAAUUAAAAAAAAAAAAAAGAAGAAGAAGAAGAAGAAGAAAGUUUCAGGCUUAGCCCGAUUUGGUUAUAGGCUUAUAGCAUUUGAACCAGCCCAAAGUAUACAAAGAAUUAGGGUUAGGGGUUAGGGCUUUGAUUUUCUUUUAGACGGGGAGAAAUCUUGUAACUAUAAAUACAACAAUUAUAGUUCCUCACCGCCUCCCUAGACCCUAACUGAGUUCUACAGCGAACAGAAUGGUUCACGUCUCCUUUUAUAGGAACUGUGAGUUGCCUCUCAAUCCUUUUUUUUUUUUAACCUUUUCACUAUAAUUUCAACAUAGUUUGUAUUCUAAUCAUUUUCUAUCUUCUUUUCUUUGUAAACUAUAAAGUAAGUGAAACAUGGAAAAUUUGAUGCGCAUUAUUUUAUUUAGAAUCCAAAAAAUUCAGCUUCCAUAUCUCUGUCCUCAAUAGAGUUUAGCAUCUGAGAUUUGCAUUUUGAUCUUGAUUUGAUGAUUUGAAUGUACUUGGUGUACCACUAGAGUUUGGCGUCUGGAUUUUGAAUAAUAGAAGUGAGAUAUUUGUUUUUCGUUUUCAUAUAGAUGGGAAAACUUUUAAGAAGCCAAGGCGUCCUUAUGAGAAGGAACGUUUGGAUGCCGAGCUGAAGCUUGUCGGAGAGUAUGGGCUCCGUGCCAAGAGGGAACUCUGGAGGGUUCAGUAUGCUUUGAGUCGCAUUCGUAAUGCUGCCAGAAUGCUUCUCACCCUUGACGAGAAGAACCAGCGCCGUAUUUUUGAGGGUGAGGCGCUUUUGAGGAGGAUGAAUAGGUAUGGGCUUUUGGAAGAGAGCCAGAACAAGCUCGAUUAUGUGUUGGCUCUCACCGUGGAAAACUUUCUCGAGCGCCGCCUCCAGACUCUUGUUUUCAAGGCUGGUAUGGCUAAGUCCAUCCACCAUGCCAGAGUGCUCAUCAAACAGAGGCACAUUAGGUAUACAUAAUAAAUUCUUAUGCUUACUAAGCUGUUAAUCGAUGCAAGUUAAAAUUCUGGAUGAAAGACACAAUACAUUGGCAAUUAAAGUUUCGCCUCUUUGAUAUUGAUUGUUUUUCCUGUUUGUCUAAACUUUGGGUGCUUUUCUUUCCUUUUUUUGGCUGUAAAAUCUUGUGAUUUCAGAACUUGAGAAGUCUCACCUCGAAUGUAGUUAUUUCACUCUUUUAGAUUCUAUAUUUUGAAGUUUUGCCUCUGAUUGAUAUCUAUUUUGGCCCUGCAGGGUUGGGAGGCAGGUGGUCAAUAUUCCAUCCUUCAUGGUGAGAGUUGACUCGCAGAAGCACAUUGAUUUCUCACUGACAAGCCCCUUUGGUGGUGGACGCCCUGGUAGAGUGAAGCGAAAGAACCAGAAGGCUGCUUCCAAGAAGGCUGCUGGUGGAGAUGGAGAUGAAGAGGAUGAAGAAUGAGCUGUAAUGUUUAGUGAUAGUGAUUUUCAUUUAAUGUUAUAAAUUUGGUUAAUAAAAAGGAAAAGGAAGCAACAAGAAGAAAAAGAAACUACAAUAAGAGAGAGCUGAGAGAGGGAAUACAAUAGAGAGAGAAGAACACAAAAGGGAGAAGAAGGCAGAAGCAAGAAGGAGAAGCCUAGCGACAUAUGGUAGUGCAAGUAUAACACUAAGCUGUCAUUUUAGUUUUCCUUGUUUUCAACCUGGCUAAAUCUUUUUUGGUUCUUCUUUCUGUUUUUGUUCCUUUUAUGAUCUAUUUUCUUAUCACAUAUGGUAAGUCUAUGAGUGCUUGCUGUUUAUGUUAAGCUUUAAGUCCAGAAUGAUUAG